RNAcentral lists this non-coding RNA (26 nucleotides) under Homo sapiens (human). Lineage: Eukaryota; Metazoa; Chordata; Mammalia; Primates; Hominidae. The record is from RNAcentral.
UGGUAACCUGCAUGUUGUCUUUAGGA